GGAGCUACGUAAGGAGUGGGAGGUUGGCCUAGGGAUGACAUUCUUUGGAGUUCGGCACAUAUUUUUAAGUAGGAGAAUUGAUAGGUUGAAGCCCAUGUGAAAGAGGCCUGCAGCAGUAGAAGCCCAGUAGCAGCUAGGCACUGGCCCAGGCCCAGUCAACCAUGUGCGGGCGCAUGCAUGCGGGCCGGUCUAGCAAAGAGUAGUGAUGGCGUACUGCGGCUUACCGCGUUCUCACAGUCCACGAAAGGGUGCGUGGAUCGAGCACCCACUUCUCUGGUAUUUUGCAUGGUCUAUGGUGGACCAACGCGCUUCCCAGGCUGUUUCUUGCAGUUUACAGAGGGUUUUAUGGACCAAUGGC
RNAcentral lists this long non-coding RNA (358 nucleotides) under Elaeis guineensis (African oil palm). RNAcentral's name for it is "long non-coding RNA (EGUI_LNC018770)". The record is from RNAcentral. Lineage: Eukaryota; Viridiplantae; Streptophyta; Magnoliopsida; Arecales; Arecaceae.